Vitis riparia (riverbank grape) is the source of this 1322-nucleotide long non-coding RNA. RefSeq lists it as uncharacterized. NCBI's taxonomy places the organism in Eukaryota, Viridiplantae, Streptophyta, Magnoliopsida, Vitales, Vitaceae. The record is from RefSeq and is a predicted model, not a curated record. The transcript is spliced from 4 exons.
UUGGACAUCUCCCCCAAGUUGACUAAUUUCGCAAUCAAUGGUCUUAAGGGGCUUGAGCAGCUCUGCAUUUCGAUUUCAGAGGGGGAUCCCACAUCUCUUCAUAAAUUGGAAAUCAAUGGGUGCUCUGAUCUUGUUGCAUCAUAUCUAAGGGAUUCCUUGGUUCGGGCCGAAGAAGCAAUGUCACUCGAUCAUUAUCAAACUGACUGCAAUCUUUUUCUGUCCGUGAGGAUCCCACCAGAGCGCCUUCUACUUCUAAUAGGCCGUGAACUAGAUCAGAAUCAUUCUCAACGAGUCCAUAAGAAGUGAUCCCAUUUUUUUCAUCGGGUCCGGGUAGAGACCAAAGGUCUUGAGCGACCGAUCCAGCAGAACACAUCCAACUGCCUGCUCUCGACUCGAUGUCCCAUUUGAUUCACAAUUGUUCCAAGCUCAGAUUGUUGGGGCAUACCCAUUCAUCUCUGCAGAAGCUGAGUUUAGGGGAUUGUCAAGAAUUGUUGUUUCACAGAGAGGGCUUGCCUUCCAACCUACGUGAACUUCAAAUCUGUCGCUGCAACCAACUCACGUCCCAAGUGGACUGGGAUUUGCAAAGACUGAGCUCUCUUACUCAUUUCACAAUCUUUGGUGGAUGUGAAGACGUGGAAUUAUUUCCCAAGGAGUGUCUGCUGCUCUCUUCUCUGACUUGUCUUUAUAUCUAUGGUCUUCCAAAUCUCAAGUCUCUUGACAACAAGGGGCUUCAACACCUUGUCUCUCUCAAAAAAUUACGAAUACAGGAUAGCCCAAGUCUUCAAUCCUUGACAAGAUCUGUUAUUCAACACCUUAUCUCUAAAAAAAUGCUUUGAUUUUUUUUCUCACUUUCUUUGACAUUUCUCUAAUACAGGCAUGGAGAAAACCGUGGAUGCAUUCUAGCUAGCUGCUUAUUGAAUUACUUAAACCUUCUACAUUGUUAAGGUAUUGACCUCCUUUCAGAAUUCAAAGGCUCCUAAAAUGCUCAACACUCUUUAGGAUUUGGGCUGGUCCAGUUGUUGAAGAUUUGGGCAAGCAACAAACUCUUAUCUGUUUGAUUUGAGAAGUUCUUCAACAAAGGAAAAUUCAUCCCAGUAACCAGAAUCAGCAUGGAAGACUGCUUAUGAGGAACAAAGUUCGGUUAUGAUAAUAGCAACCUACAUUGAUUGGGAGUCUUAACAAAAGCUGGUCUAUUGUGUGCUAAGUGGCCCACUUUUUUAAAGCCUCAAUUUCAGCAUCUCUUCACACCUCAGCAGCCUUCUUAACACAAUCAGACCUAGAUACUUACCUACACAUGGGGAGAGACUUAAGGAGUUACUAUU